ACUUUGCUGACGAGUGCCAAAUGGCACGAAACCCGGGUUCAGGGU
Molecule: non-coding RNA, 45 nt
Filed under: Schistosoma mansoni
Lineage: Eukaryota; Metazoa; Platyhelminthes; Trematoda; Strigeidida; Schistosomatidae
Source: RNAcentral